Long non-coding RNA from Rhododendron vialii, 260 nucleotides. RefSeq lists it as uncharacterized. NCBI's taxonomy places the organism in Eukaryota, Viridiplantae, Streptophyta, Magnoliopsida, Ericales, Ericaceae. The transcript has 2 exons. The record is from RefSeq and is a predicted model, not a curated record.
GGUAAAAGUUGGUGUAUUGUCUAUUUUGUCCCUAAAAGUAGAUUUUAUUUUGAAAAGUUAGUGAGGUGAAAGUUGGUGAAUUGUCUAUUUUGUCCCUAAAAGUAGAUUUCAUUUUGAAAAGUUAGUGAGUAAAAGUGUAAUGAUGAUGGGUAAGUAGGAAAAGUGGAGGAAAAAGUUGAUGUGAAAGGUGUAAUGAUGAUGUCUUUUUAAUAAGUUGGAGUUACGAAGCAGGACAUUUAAAAAGGGACGGAGGGAGUAAU